This 253-nucleotide ribosomal RNA is filed under the name uncultured bacterium. Its description in RNAcentral is "partial 16S ribosomal RNA". It matches the Rfam family "Bacterial small subunit ribosomal RNA", at positions 524 to 776 of the family's 1533-position model. The record is from RNAcentral.
UACAGAGGUGGCAAGCGUUGUUCUGAAUUACUGGGCGUAAAGGGCGCGUAGGCGGCUUGGUCAGUCCCGUGUGAAAUCCCUCGGCUCAACUGAGGAACUGCACGGGAAACUGCCUGGCUUGAGUUCGGGAGAGGGAAGCGGAAUUCCGGGUGUAGCGGUGAAAUGCGUAGAUAUUGGGAGGAACACCAGUGGCGAAGGCGGCUCACUGGACCGGAACUGACGCUGAGGCGCGAAAGCGUGGGGAGCAAACAGG